This 484-nucleotide ribosomal RNA is filed under the name uncultured bacterium. Its description in RNAcentral is "partial 16S ribosomal RNA". It matches the Rfam family "Bacterial small subunit ribosomal RNA", at positions 30 to 507 of the family's 1533-position model. The record is from RNAcentral.
AUUGAACGCUGGCGGAAUGCUUUACACAUGCAAGUCGAACGGCAGCACGGGGGCAACCCUGGUGGCGAGUGGCGAACGGGUGAGUAAUACAUCGGAACGUGCCCGGUCGUGGGGGAUAACGUAGCGAAAGUUACGCUAAUACCGCAUACGAUCUGAGGAUGAAAGCGGGGGACCUUCGGGCCUCGCGCGAUCGGAGCGGCCGAUGUCAGAUUAGGUAGUUGGUGGGGUAAAGGCCUACCAAGCCGACGAUCUGCAGCUGGUCUGAGAGGACGACCAGCCACACUGGGACUGAGACACGGCCCAGACUCCUACGGGAGGCAGCAGUGGGGAAUUUUGGACAAUGGGCGCAAGCCUGAUCCAGCCAUUCCGCGUGCAGGACGAAGGCCUUCGGGUUGUAAACUGCCUUUGUAUGGAACGAAAAGGCUCUGGCUAAUACCUGGGGCUCAUGACGGUACCGUAAGAAUAAGCACCGGCUAACUACGUG